Molecule: unclassified non-coding RNA, 245 nt
Filed under: Capnodiales sp.
Lineage: Eukaryota; Fungi; Ascomycota; Dothideomycetes; Capnodiales
Description: partial contains 5.8S ribosomal RNA, internal transcribed spacer 2, and large subunit ribosomal RNA
Source: RNAcentral
CGCACAUUGCGCCCCUCGGUAUUCCGGGGGGCAUGCCUGUUCGAGCGUCAUUACACCAAUCAAGCCUCGCUUGGUCUUGGGCGCCGCGGUCCGCCGCGCGCCCCAAUGUCUCCGGCUGAGCCGUCCGUCUCGAAGCGUUGUGAUCAAUCAAAUCGCUUGCGGGUGCGGGCCGGCUUGUUCGCCGUUAAACCCCCCUCUUUUAUCAGGUUGACCUCGGAUCAGGUAGGGAUACCCGCUGAACUUAA